Molecule: non-coding RNA, 301 nt
Rfam family: Plant signal recognition particle RNA
Source: Rfam
ACCGGGCUCAGUAACGCGAGCCUGUAACCAAGUGGGGCAUCAAAGUGUUUGAACGUUGGCUGGACUCUGCAGGUUGGGCUUACUGGGUCUUAAACGGACUCGCCCAAUCCAAGUAAAGAGUGGUCCACGUGGGCUGAGCGAAGGCUUGGCUCGCUUGGCUCCUAAAGUGGAGGGUACAGCGUGAGGCUGGUUUCACAGAGCAGCGACAACCUCCCGCUCUCGUCAGUGGAUGGAUAACGGGUCGGUUCCCAGUCAGUCCGCUCAUACCUGGAUGGUCCCUCUCAAUAGAACAAACACUUUU